AUAAUAAAAAAUAAAAGAGGUUAAACAUUUGAAAAGCAGUUUAAUGAAAUAUAAUUAAAAUGAAAUUUGUGUAGGUUUGAUAAUGUUAGCCAUCGUACUUAUCCUUAUCCCUAUCCCAUAUCUUUCAACCAAAAGUAAACAUGACGAGAUGGUCGGACUGUACAUAAUUAAACUAACGUAAAGGCGUGUGCUCUAGUGCAGCAGUCUCUUCCACUUUUGUCAUCUCUUAUAUCCUUCUUCCACAUUCCUAAUUAUCAACCAGUUUUUUUGACUUCUGCCCCAUAUUUUCCAUCAAUUCUCUAAGCUAAUUAUGAAGCCAUAGAAAGACUAUUCCAAUAAAAGUUCCCUUUUCACUUUUCCAGUUUCAGUACUUCUCUCACAAACCUCUCUCCAAUAUUUAUCUUGCCUUUCCUCCACAAAUCAGGAAAUCACUUUUCUCAUCCCC
Molecule: long non-coding RNA, 445 nt
Filed under: Vigna radiata
Lineage: Eukaryota; Viridiplantae; Streptophyta; Magnoliopsida; Fabales; Fabaceae
Description: long non-coding RNA (VRAD_LNC003877)
Source: RNAcentral